CAUUGCCCAAAAUAUGCAAGCAGACUAUCAACCACGCCGUCCCCAAGAUAAAACAACUCAGAUCUCUGUUAUCGAAUUCUUACUACACUAUAAGAACCGAUCUCGAAUACACCCACCACAAUAUGGCUACUCGUGCCAAUUCUCGAAAUUACACACAAUAUGGCUACUCGUGCCAAUUCUCUUCCCACAAUACUAACUAUCAGUGUCAGUUCUCGAAAUUUACAGAAUAUGGCUACCUGUGCCAAUUCUCUUCCCACAAUACUGACUACCAGUGUCAGUUCUCAAAAUGCCCAUAAUAUGGCUACUUGUGCCAAUUCUUUCCACCAAUACUGACUACUAGUGUCAGUUCUCGAAAUUUCCAGAAUAUGACUACAUGUGCCAAUUCUUUUCCCACAAUACUGACUACCUGUGUCAGUUCUCAAAAUGCCCAUAAUAUGGCUACCUAUGCCAAUUCUUUCCCCCAAUACUGACUACCAGUGUCAAUUCUCAAAAUGCCCACAAUAUGGCUACAUGUGCCAUUUCUUAGUGCCACGGCGGAAAAUAUGAGGGAGAAAGAAAAGGUUGAAUGAAAGCGCAUUCAACUUGAGGCAAGAAAAUAUGAAGGGAGAAUGCUUUUAUUUAUAACUUGGGAUUUUUUCCAAGUUUCUCAUCUCUCCAAUGUGGGACUUGAGAGUUGUUUUUUCCCCAAAACUCUUCUAUGUGGGACUUGAGUGUUGUUUUUUUCAAAACUCUUCUAUGUGAGAUUUGGGUGUUUUUUAUAUUUCACACCCAAAAGUUCUCACUAAUGGUUUUCAACAAACCAUGUUCCAACAAUAAUGGUAGCAAUAGGAAUUAGUUUUGGUAAAAAUGAUGUAACAUACUCCAUAUUUAUUCAAAUAGGACAACUUAUAUAUAAAAAUGAAGAAGAU
RNAcentral lists this long non-coding RNA (908 nucleotides) under Lupinus angustifolius (narrow-leaved blue lupine). RNAcentral's name for it is "long non-coding RNA (LANG_LNC002200)". Lineage: Eukaryota; Viridiplantae; Streptophyta; Magnoliopsida; Fabales; Fabaceae. The record is from RNAcentral.